RNAcentral lists this long non-coding RNA (16386 nucleotides) under Gossypium raimondii (Peruvian cotton). Its description in RNAcentral is "long non-coding RNA (GRAI_LNC000876)". Lineage: Eukaryota; Viridiplantae; Streptophyta; Magnoliopsida; Malvales; Malvaceae. The record is from RNAcentral.
UAAGAAAUAUAAGAAGAUUUUGGAACUAAAAUUGGUUCACUAGAGAAAUGUUGGUGGUACUGUUGUUGUUGUUGUAGUUGCUGCUGCUGCUCAGGGUACGAGGAUGUCCUGUAGAGAUGCUUUGCAUCCAAAUUGGCCAAUGGUUGUGAAGACCAGCGUUUGUCAUCAGGAAUACUUUCAGUUUCAAGAGGCUGCUGAUCAAGCCAGUGAGGAAAUUCCUCCCCAUGUGUCCAUUCGGCAGCAGAUGAACCUUCAACAACAUAAUGAUAAAUGUCAAUAUUGGUAUGUUGAUCUGCGUAAUUGGUCCCUUCACUGUGAUGAUGUAGGAUUUUCUAAGUGUUUAAAUCUCUUAGUAUUCUCAAAUUUGUAGAUAGAUUUAAUCUUGAUCAUUUAUAUAAUUUAAAUUGUACCGUUAGAUCUAGGAAAGUUUAAUUAUAAAUAGAGAUCUUCCCUUCCAUUUGUAAAUAAUCUUUACAGUAAUUGAUAUUACUGAGAGCAUUUACUCAAAUACUUAGAUGUGCUAUUACUUUUUUGUGGUUUUUUUGUUCAAUCGCUACUUCUUUACUUUUGAGUUUGCUUCUGCUAACUUCGGUACCUUAGAGAAUUUUCUUUAUAAGUUAUCGUCUAAGGCCACAGAUUUGCUAGAGUUAGUUUUAGCCAUAUUGCACUUUCAAAUAGAGAACACAUAUUCAAAUCUGAGAUACGAAUUGACCAAAAAUGAUAAAAUGGACAUAGAAAAUACCCGAUUUGUUCACAAAUUAUUCAGGCCCAUUGUUUAUUUAUAUAAAAAAAAUGAUUGUCAUUAUCAAGCCAAGACUCAAAUAACUUAGAAACUUAAUUAAUUUGAUGACUCUAAAAUUCGAGUUCAAUUUAUAAUACUCUAUUUGUUUCACUAAAAAUGAUUUCCGAAAAAUAAUUUCUGGAAAAUGACUUACUUUUCUAGAAAAGCUAAUUUUUUCUGGUGUUUGGAAGAUUUCCUGAAAAUAUUUCAUAAAAGCUGUUUUCAAUAAAACAAACAUAUAUUUGAGAUUUUGUUAUCUUUUCAUUAUUUAAUUAAAUUUAUUUCAUAAAUUUUAUUUAUAUUUUAAUUAAUCAUGUUUUAGUUUUAAUCAAUCUUAAUUUAUUUAAUUAAGCUUAAUUGUUAAUUUCAUACAUUAGGGAAUAUAAAUUUAUAGAUAUAAAUUUAUGUUUAAUUAAGUUGAAAGUGGUAAAUAUUUAUUUUGAAUAUUAUUUGGAUGAGUAAGUUGAAAAAUAAUUUAAUUUAAUAAAAAUGGAAGUAAGGUCUAAAUUGUAAAAUUUGUAAUUUUUUGAAUUCUAAGGAUUUGAGUAGUAAAAUCUGAAACAUUGAUGUCUGAAACAUUGAUGUAGUAACUAAAUUAUAUGAUUAUGAAAUAUGAAAAUUUGGAAAGUUGAGCAUAAAAUAGUAAAGUUUGAAACUAUAGGGGUUAAAUUGUAAAAAUUUCAAAACUUGAGUUUUAGGACUAAUUUACAUUAUUUGAGAAUUUGCAAUUCUAAAAAAUAGAAUAUGAAAGUUUAACUGUUCAAAAAUUAAGUACUAAUUUUUGGAAAUUUUGACAAUUUUAAUUGUAAGGACUAAAUCAUAAAAUCUGGAAAUUUUAGAAAAUUGAUUGUUUUACAAAACUGUACAAAACGGGAUUUAGAACUAAAUUGUAGAAUAAGAAAAUCUAUUUUUGAAGAAUUAAAUUGUAGAAUAGUAAAAAUUUGGAUUUUAGAGACUAAAUCGUAAAAAAAUAUAAAAUUAGAAUGUAAGAGAUUGUUUUCUUCGACAAUGAAGAGAGCUUCCCCUUUGUCUUUUUUUUUUGUUUCUUCAAAAAUAAAGACAAUGAACAUAACCUUAUCAAUUUAAAAAAUAUCUUACGGGAAAAAAAUUGAUAAGAUAUUUUUCUUAAAAAAAUCUUGAUUUUAUCUUUUUUUGGGAGAAUUGUUUCAUUUGAUAAUUCAUUUUCGAUCAAACAAACUGUAACACCCCUUACCCGCAUUCCUGAUCGGAACAGAGUAUGAGGUAUUACUAAAUUUUUAAAAAAAAUUCAACAGCAUUUCUGCUUAUUUUUGCUUAAACCUCCUGCAAGUUUUCAACACAAUUCAAUAUUCCAACCAAGUUCAGUUGUACAAACAUACAAAAUUUAACCAUUAAUAAACACUACAUUUUAAAUCGAACCAUAACAUAUAUUUACAUGGUGACGCCCCAUUACAUAAGUCGUCUAUACAUGCCAUAAUUUCCAGAAUACUAGUAGCCAAAAUACUCAAACGUGGAUGAUAGUGUAGAUGAUUGUCUGACUCCGUCCAAAUUCCGAGUUGAUGGAAAUCACUAUAAUCAAGGGAAAAAUAAAAACGAGUAAGCAUAUAGCUUAGUAAGUAAACAUAUGACAAAUAAAUAAUUUCUCACAUGACUACACCAUAGUAUAAAUUUAUUCACAAAUAAAUUUCAUUAUUUGUGUAAUUUCCAGCAAGCUGGUUUUCUGCGUCAUGACCACUAAUUUAUUUUUAUUCGGAGCUACAUGGCUUCAAAUUGAAUUCUGUAAAUUUUUCAUGAAACUAGACCCAUAUAUCUUUCUAUUUCAGAAUUUUUGAUCGAGCCAAUUAGUACAGUUUAUUCUUUAAAUCUUCCCCUGUUUCACUGCCCAACAGUCCUGACCUCCCCUUACAAAAUUUCACAUAACUCUCUGUACAAGUUUCAAAAAAUGUUCUCGUUUGUUUCUAUUAAAAAUAGACUCAAAAAGGAAUCCAGUCAUAUAGAUUUCAAGCCAUAAUUAUUUUUUUUAAAUUUUUGGUGAUUUUCCAAAGUUGGAAUAGGAGAUUUCGAAAUCAAUCCAGCCCUGUCUCAGUAAAAUUCAAAUAUCUCCAAAAAUACAACUCUUUUGCUUACUAUAUUUCUUUCAUAUGAAAAUAGACUCAUUCAGCUUCAAUUUCAUAUAUUAUUUAACCUCUAAUUCAUUUUCCACCAUUUAUGGUGAUUUUUCAAAGUUGCCCAACUGCUAUCAUUCAAAACAGUUGGCAUUCAAAUUGUCUCUUUUUGUGUUUUUGAUUUUCCUCCCAUCUUAUACAUGGGUUGAUUAAUUAUCAAACCCAAUAUUCCUCCCAUAAACUUGUCCACCACAUAUAUGAAUAUUCACCUUCCCAAUUUACUCGUUGAACACUCGGAAUGUUAACCGUUAUCGGUGGAUUCCGCACUUAGCAACCACCAAUGAAUCGAGGAAUCAGCACACAGCAACCCCUUGGGGGAAUCAGCACUUAGCAACCCCCUUCACAUUUCAGAUGCGGUGGAAUCAGCACUUAGCAACCACCAAAUGAGUCGGGGAGUCAGCACUUAGCAACCCCUCGGGGGAAUCAGCACUUAGCAACCCCCUUUCACAUUUAAAAUACGGUGGGAUCAGCACUUAGCAACCACCAAUAGGUAGGGGAAUCAGCACUUAGCAACCCCUCGGGGGAAUCAGCACUUAGCAACCCCCUUUCACAUUUAAAAUAUGGUGGGAUCAGCACUUAGCAACCACCAAUAGGUAGGGGAAUCAGCACACAGCAACCCCUUUAUAUGCAAUAUGCUCCGGCCUAUUCCGAGUGUUCAACCAAAAACCGUGUUUUGCAACCCCUUACCACCUUUCUCGAUUUAACAACAUUUUUGGAAUCUUGCCAAACAUUUAUUUUAUAUUCAAAUACAUCUCAACACAUAUCAAAUAAUACCAAAAUAAUACAUUAAGUCACGUGUUUACUUACCUCGGUGCAAAAUAUCGUAAUUUUGCAAUUCACUCAACUAUCUUUUCUUUUCCUCGUUUGAGAUAAUCUUCCCGUUUUUCUUGAUCUAUAAUGGCAAAUUUAACUCAUUUAAUGUUCACAUUUAUUGAAAUAAUCCACCACCCAACUUUUUGAAAAAUUACAAUUUUACCCCCAAACUUCUGCAUAAUUACACUUUUGUCCCCAAGCUCGGGAAUUAAACUUCAUCACUUAUUCUUAUGUUUUAUGACAUGCUGAACAUUUUUCGCUUCUAUGGCAACAUCAAAUUCUCACUCUAGCACAUACUUUUGAACAUUAACAAUUUUUACCGAUUAUGUCAAUUUACCCGUUUUCGUUUAAAAUCGCUUAGCAAAAGUUGUUUAACAUAAUUUCUAGCUUCAUAUUCCACCAUAAAACAGAAAAAUAAACACUUUUCACCUAUGGGUAUUUUUCCAAAUAUAAACCCUAACAUGAAUUAUUGAUAAAAUAAGCUAAACCGAGCUACGAGGAUUUCAAAAAUGCAAAGAACAUUAAAAACGGGGCUAAGAUGCACUUACUAUGAGCUUGAGAAAGCAAAGAAACCCUAGCUAUGGUGUCUUCCAAAAUUUGGCAGCAACUAUGGAGAAGAUGACACCAUUUCUCCAUCUUUUUCCCAUUUUAUUUCUUUUUAUUACUAAAUGACUAAAAUGCCCCCAUUUAAAAAAAUCUAUUUCACCCAUUUCUUAUGUCUAUUUUUGUCCAUCAAUUAACUAAUGGUCUAAUUACUACAUAAGGACCCCCAACUUAUAAUCUCAUAACAAUUAGACACUUCUAACAUGUAGAACUCAACUUUGGCACUUUUUACAAUUUAGUCCUUUUCACUAAAUUGAGUGCCCAAACGUCGAAAUUUUCGAACGAAAUUUUUCCGUAAAAUUGUAGACCAUAAAAAUAUAACAAUAACCAUAUUUUCACUCGUCAGAUUUGUGGUCCCGAAACCACUAUUCCGACUAGGCCCAGAAUCGGGCUGUUACACAAACAACAUAAAAUAAAGAAAACAUUUUAUAUGUAAACAAAGUAUAAGAUGUCAUCUUCCUUUUAGGACCAAAGCGUAAUGUUGAAAUUGGAGUGGUAUUACUGUUUCAUAGUUCACCAUUUUUGAAACUUCAAUGCAAGAACAAGUCAACAAAUUUAAAAAGACAUCAGCGCUUGAAAAAAAUUGGAAUCCUGAGGUAGACAUUUGCAGUUGCCUUGAAACAUCAUUACAUCAUAUCCCAAAUCAGGGGUAGAGUUAGGGGCGCUUGCACUGUCUCGACCCCAAAAAUAACUUUUUCUAUUUAAAUAUUUUCAUAAUUGAUAAAAUAUUAAAUUAAUAAUAAUAAAAUUGAAUUUUGACUUUUAGGAAUGAUAGAAGUUUAAUUUUAUCUUUUAAUCAUUCCUCAACCAUAGCCUCAAUUCCAAGUUCUUGCAAGAGAUGGAGAAAGUUAUUAGCGACUCUGUUUUACUAGCUUCUGAAAUUUUAUUAUUGUCUUGUUUUUACUUACAAUCUGGCACUGCUUCUGACACCAUAACACCAUCGAAAUCCAUCAAAGACCCUGAAAUUAUAAUCUCCCAGAGUGGAGUUUUCCGAUUGGGAUUCUUCAGCUUUGCUAAUUCCAGCAAUCGUUAUGUAGGGAUAUUGUACCAUCAAAUCCCCGUACAAACAGUGGUAUGGGUAGCAAACAGAAACAAGCCUCUCAAAGACUCUUCUGGGAUUCUCAACAUAUCAGAUGAUGGCAACCUUGUUGUUUCCAAUGGAAAAGCUGAGAUUCUUUGGUCAUCAAAUAUUACGAAUUUGGUUCCUAAUGCAACAACUGCCCAGCUUUUAGACUCUGGAAACCUUGUCCUUAGUAAUGGUGAGGAUGGAGCAAGCAGCUUAUGGGAGAGUUUUGAAGAUCCUUCUAAUGCCUUCCUUGAAACUAUGAAGAUCAGAACUGAUGUUAAGAAAGGUCGUAAAGUGGAGCUGAAAUCAUGGAAAAGCAUUGAUGAUCCAUCUGAUGGUAGCUUUUCUUUUGGCUUUGAACCUUUCAAUAUCCCAGAGCUUGUCAUUAGGAACAAUAACAAGCUCUAUUUUCGGAGUGGUCCAUGGAAUGGAAAUACCUUUAUUGGUGUUAUUAUGAAGACUGUUUAUAUUGAUGGGUUUCAUGUUGUUGCAGAUUAUCAACAACAAACGUACUAUUUCACUUAUGAGUAUUCUGAUAACUAUAGGUUGAAGUACUAUGAACUGGAUUCUCAAGGAAAAUUAUUUGAGCGGACAUGGGAUGGGGGGAAAGGGGAAUGGAUAAACAGGUACUCUACUACUCUAACAGAAUCUUGUGUUUAUGGACAGUGUGGGCCAUUUGGGAUCUGCGAUCGAACAAAACAACCCAUUUGCAGUUGCUUAAAGGGGUUUAAACCUAGGAAUAUAGAGGAAUGGAGUAGAGGUAAUUGGAGUGGUGGGUGUUUUAGGACUACCCCUUUACAAUGCCAAAGGGAUAAGAACAAUGGCAGUGAAGCAGGCCAAGGAGAUGAUGAUGGGUUUUUGAAGCUGCAGACGAUGAAAGUGCCGGCAUUUCCGGACCGAUCAUCAAUAAAUAACGGUGAAUGCAAAGAUCAAUGCAUGAAGAACUGUUCGUGCGUGGCUUAUGCGUAUGAUGCUGGCAUUGGUUGCAUGUUUUGGAGUGGAGAUUUGAUUGAUAUGCAGAAAUUCUCCACUCAAAGAGUCAAUCUUUACAUUCGUCUACCAUCUUCAGAGCUUGGUAAACUAGUCUUCCAUGUCGACCAUGUGUUGAAUUGCCUCAAUUAAUCUGCUUUUUUGGUGUUGAAGUUUUAUUAACCAAGUUUUUCGAUUUGCAGAUAAAGGGAAAAGCACUAAAGUUAUUGUUAUUACAGCAGUAAUUGUGGGUAUAGUAACCAUUACGAUUAUUAUGCUCUUCUUAUGGUGUUGGAUGGCUAAAAGAAGAGGUAACAUCUCUAUCUUUAUUUAUUAGUUAUUAAGAUAUUCAAACUCAACUCCAUUACUCUGUUUGAAAAUGAUUGAAUCCAAUUCGCAUUUUUUUUUUUUAAUUAGGUAACUCUGAAUUCAGUGUAUCUCUAAUUUAGCAAUUUGCAUCUCAGGAAGGAAACAAAAACACAAACAGAUCAAACUCCAACUCAACAAAGGAAAUGCAAUGACAAAAUUUUCUAGUGAAAAUGUGGGAGAAUAUUCAAUCGGAGUUAAACUCCAGCAGCUGCGGCUAUUCAAUUUCGAAGAACUCGCCAUCGCGACGAGCAACUUCGAUCACGCAAAAAAGCUAGGGCAGGGUGGUUUCGGUCCAGUUUAUAGGGUAAUUAAUAAUGGCGAUUUCCAGCUAAUCCAGAGUCAGUGAAAUGACAUUUUUCUUUUUGCAGUCAAGUCUUGUGAGCUGAAUAUUGUGUGCAGGGAAUAUUAAGUGAUGAAAAGGAAAUAGCAGUGAAGAGAUUAUCGAAAGCUUCAGGGCAAGGAUUAGAAGAAUUUAUGAACGAAGUGGAAGUGAUUUCUAAGAUUCAACAUCGAAAUCUGGUUAAAUUGUUUGGGUGUUGUGCUGAAGCAGAAGAGAAGAUGCUCGUCUACGAGUAUAUGCCCAACAAAAGUUUGGACACUUUUGUCUUUGGUUAGUAACUCACGCUAAUCCUCUUUCUACUAUUUUCGAAACUCAUAUUAAGCCCCAAUUAAAUUUAAAAUCAAACAGGAUGAAGUCAAAACAUUUCUAUCAUAAUUUUAAAUUAAUGUAUACAUCUCUAUCAUCUUUUCUUCUCUCGUCUUUCUAAUUUAGAAAGAUUAGUUUUUAUACAUUAAUGAAAAAUGAUCAUCCUUUAUAUUUUAUUUCCUCUCACUUUUCUUCUCAACUAAGUACACUCAAAAUUUAUUCUCUUUUCAGUUUUCCAUUCUCUACUCUCAUCCUUUCACUUUUCUACCCAACCAAACACACCCUUGGUCUAUUCCAAGAUUUAAAUAGUAAUUGUUGCUCAAUAAUUAUUUUAAUUGAUCGAUGUAACAUCAAUUACAGUUACAAUCAUAAUGAAUACAAUAUGGUAGAAAAUACAAUGAUGGUUUUAGUUAGAUCCUCGGUUAUAAGAAUUAAUUUUUCAUUUUUAAGGUCUUACCAUUUAGUUUUUGUUGUAGAUCCAAUUAAAAAAACCGUCUUGGAUUGGAGAAAACGCUUUAACAUUAUUGAAGGGAUCAGCCGAGGAUUGCUUUAUCUUCAUAGAGAUUCAAGACUAAAAAUUAUACAUAGAGAUCUAAAAGCAGGCAAUGUUUUACUCGAUCAAGAGUUAAAUCCAAAAAUUGCAGAUUUUGGGAUGGCGAGAAUUUUCGGAGGAGAUGAAAAUCAAGCUAACACUAAAAGGGUUGUUGGAACUUAGUAAGUUGGAAUAUCCUCCCUGUCUUUUCUUUUCUUUUUGUUCAUUUUUUUUCCACUAAAGUAUGGUGUAGAUAUGUCUAUGAUCGAGUCUGGCCAUCUCAUGAUGCUUAAAGAAAAUACAUGCCUAAAUUGGAAUAGGGUCUAGCUUUGCUCAGUCUGUUGGCUUAUUUUAUUGUUUAAAAAAAGGCAUUGUAAAAAUUUAAAUAUAUUUAAGUCAAAUUAUGGUUUUCGCCAUUAUAAAUUGGUCAAAUUUGAGAUUUAGUAUCUAUGCUUUAAUAUGACAUUUUUUGGUUCCUCUAUUUUUAUUUUAUUAUUAGUAAGUUCAAAUAUGUAACACGUGUUUUUUACAAAUAUCUCUUCCAACUCGUCAUAUUGACAUAGAACUAUAUUCCUUCCAACUCAUCAUAUUGACAUGGAACUUUUUAUAAUAGAACCGUUGUUUUUAAGAAAAAUCUACACUAGUAUUUAACAGGAAUAGUUAAUAGUAUUUAUUUAAACUAACUAAAGGCAUUAUAAAAAUAGAGGGGUUAAUUCAUGUCAAAUUAAAAUAUAUGUGCUAAAUCUCAAAUUUAAGUAUAGUAGCGGGAUCAAAACUAAAAUUUUAUGUUAUAUUCAUAUUCUUGUAUGAUUAAAUUUAAAUAAAAAUGUUUUUAUUAUUUAAUUCUAAUUUAGACCCGAUUUAAACUAGGAUUGUAAUGGUGGGGGGUUUUUUUGUAAUGGUUAUUUUUUUUAAUGUUAAAAUACAGUGGUUAUAUGUCUCCUGAGUAUGCAAUACAAGGGCGAUUUUCAGAGAAAUCAGAUGUGUUCAGUUUUGGAGUUCUACUGUUAGAGAUUGUUAGCGGAAGAAAAAACACAACCUUGUUCAACAAUCAGGAUUAUUUUAGCCUCUUGGGAUAUGUAAGUUUAUAAGAUAAUUAGAAAUGUUGGAAGAUCGAAUUAGGGGUGUAUGUCAUCAUAUUUGCAAGCUAUUUGAGCUGCUCAUGCAAGCUGAAUUUGAGUAUCUUAAUGCUUGAAUAAAAUAGUUCACGAGCUGAAUUUGAGAAAUCCUAACACUUGGAUUGAGUAGCUUGCAAACCUAAUUAAGCUUCUUCUUUUUUUCAAUUAAUAAUGAGAAUUUCUGAUUCAAACUCAAGUUCAAGUACAAACAAUCAAGUUUGAAGUUGAACAUGAGAAUGAAACCCAUUUUAGACUUGGGUAAACAAGCUUAAUCAAGAGAGAGCAGUUCAACCUUUAUAUUGAAUUGAGCUGAUCAAACUCUUUUGAAGCUUUGAGUUUAGAAUUUCGAGUCUAAGUUAAAUUGGAUAAUUUAAGCAUUAAUUUAGACAAACUUUUUUUCUGUUUAUAGGUCUGGAAACUAUGGAACGAUGGCAACAUUUGGAGCUUAGUAGACAAGGUGGUUUUGGAGCCAAAAUCUAAUUUAAAGAAUGAGAAAGAAAUAAGGAGAUGCAUACAUAUUGGAUUGCUAUGCGUUCAAGAAUAUGCUAACGAUAGGCCCACUAUGUCUACUGUUGUUUCAAUGCUUAACAGUGAGAUUUCAAAUUUUACCACACCAAAACAACCUGCUUUCACGCAAACCCCACUAAUCACCCAUGAUGAUCAAAAUAGAGUUUCAGUUAAUGAUGUAACUCUUACCGACUUUGAUGGCAGAUGAAGGUACAAAUUAAUUACUUUUAAUUUUUAGAAAUAAAAUUGUAAGUAUUGAAAAGAUAUAAUUUAAUUGUUUGUAGUUUAGAAAUAAAAUUGUAAGUAUUGAAACUGAUAAGUGAUAAAAGUAACAUGUGUUAAUUUCGUUCUUAAUACGUUUAUGGAUGAUUAUUUAUGCAAAAUGGUUAAUUUUAUGCUCCUGAUCCUUUAAAUUAAAUGUUUCUAUACUUAGGAGAGCAUUUGGGAGCAAAAGGAGCAAAAAACGAGUGAAAAUCAGACAUUUUGAGCAAAUUUUAGAAACCACACGGGCUGGGUCUUCCCACACCAGCUGGACACACGAUAAUGUGCUAGACCGUGUCGAUUUCACGAUUCACAUCUCAAACACGCGGAAAAAUGAAAUUUUUAGGCUUUCUAAGCAUUCUAAAGUCUAUAAAUACCAAAUAGAAGAAGAGAAAAGUAAGCCAACAGAGAAUAUUGAAGAAAACAACUCGAAGAACACCAUUGGAGCCAACUCUGAAGCAAAUUUCUAUCAAGAUUAAAGACCUCCUUUUAAUUUCCUUUGAAGUUUUCGAACACCAUAAGAGAUGUUACCUCUUCUUUUAGCCAUCCAACACCAUUCACAAUUAUGAACUAAUUUCCUAGAUACCUAAAGAAGAUGAACCCUAUGAUGAAUUAUAUUAUUUGAUUUCUAUUUUAUGUGAUAAAUAUUUGAUUCUUGUUCUCAGUUAUGUGUGCUUAUCUAUUGUUUUAAUAUUUUUGGGAUAUUAAUUCAUGUUUAAUGUACUUAAAUCAAAGGAGAAAAAGUCUCUGUUUAAGAGUAGAACUAGCAUAAUUGAGUGGAGUUGCAUGCAAUCCUAGAAACAGGACGACAUAAAUCUACUGGAUUAAAGUCAAAUUUAAUAAGGGAAUCUAUAAAUCGAGUUAAUGCGACAAUUUAAUUAGAAAGAAAUUUCAAUUAAUCAACCUAAAUUCAGUUGUUCUUACUCUCGAAAGAGAUACUAGUUUAAUUUAUGGGUUUCUACGGAUCAAGAUACCAAGUGAAUAAAUCGUUUGAUUCAGAUUCAUAAUGAUAGACGAAGUCUAGGUGGAUUCUUUCCUGGGUAUUGUCUCGCUUAUUGGUUAUUAUUUAAUUACUUUCCUAAUUUAUUCUCUGUUGAGUUCAUUAGUUAAAUUAAUUUAGUAAUCUUAGUUUAAAUAAAUCAGUCCAAGUUGUCGGUUAAAUAAUAGGAAAAUGGUAGCUAUACUAGUACUUUUAGUCCUCGUGGAUACAAUAUCUCUACUCACCGUAACUAUACUAUUUAUCGAUAGGUGCACUUACAUUUGUCGUAUUUUUAGUUAGUCACGUGAUACAUCAAAAGAUUUUCUUUAUAAUUUCGUUUUGAUAAGAGUUGUCAAUUUAUUGGCUCAAAUCAAUUGUAAGUUUACAAUUACACUUAAACAUGUAAGAACAUGAAAACUCAAUCUAGUUAACCCAAAUCCAAAUUCAAGUCCAAUCCCAACUUAAUUUGAACAUAAAAAAUCAAUAAGUUGGAACUCCUCCAAAUCAAACCGAAAAUAGCUUAAAUCUAAAGUGUUUCAAACUUAAAAUGACUUAAACUCGAAAUAACCCACAUACUAACUCAUUUGUCCCCUAAAGGCUGCAAGAAAUCUCUCACAAUUUGUGUAUAACUUAUCUCAUCUAUUGAAUCCUAUAAGUAUGAUUUAUCUUCCUUGUCUAUCUCAUCUAUUGAAUCUGAUAAGUAUGAUUUAUCUUCCUUAAUAAGGUGAGUUCAUAUAGGCAAGAUCUAGGAUGUAAUUUUGUCUUUUAACUACCUCAAUUUAACUUAAAUUUAAUUAUAUAAUGUAAAAAUAUUAAUAUAAAAAUGAUUUUUUAUAAAAGCUAGCCGAUCCAACUAGGCGAAUUUGGACUUACCUAGUUAUUGAAUUGUUCUUCUAGUUGUUAUAAAUUGGAUGUGUUUGUUUGUAGAGGUGAAUAAUCCCAAAUGAAAAACUCCACCCCGGGAUAUUACAAAUUUAGGGUGUUUGUGUAACGACCCGAUAGUCACAGGUGUCGGAAAGUGCAUUUUCGAGACUCCGUUAUUGUAAAUAGGACUCGUAAAUAUUUUUAAUAAAUAUUUACGAAGUUAGUUGUGUAGUUAAUUAGGAGGUGAAACUGCAUGAAUUAAGAGUAAUUAGGUAAAAAGACUAAAUUGUAUAAAGGGUGAAAGUUGAAUUAUAGAUUAAAGAAAAAUUAAAGGGACCAAAGGAGAAAUUAUGCCAAUGGUCAUGAUUGAGGCCGCAUAAGUGUAUAUAUAUUAUAAAUAUUUAAAGUUAAUAUAUAUAUAUUAUAAUAUUAAAGCUUAAAAGUUAAGUAUAUAUAUUAUUAUAUUAUAAUGAUAAAGUAAAAGAAAAACAAAUGGAAAAUGAAGGAGAGAAAGAAACGAAACAAAGAAGGAAAGAAAGAAAAGAAAAAAAGAAAGAAAGAAGGAGAAUAGUUAGGGUUUCAAGGGUUCAAAGCUCAAUUAGUUAGUCAAUUUAGUCUCUUUUUUUUUCUAAUUUUUAUGUUUUUGGAAUUCUGGUAUUAAAUACUACCCGACCCAUGUCAAAAUUUUAGAAAUUAUUAAGUUUUUAAGUGAUGUUUUUGUUGAAUAAUUUAGUAUUGGGGAUUAAAUUGAUAGAUUUUUAAGUUAGAAAUGAAAAAGGAUUGAAUUGUAGAAUAAAUUGUAAAUUUUGAGUAUUAGGGACUAAAUUGUGAAAAUUUUGAAAUUUGGGGGUUUAAGUGAAAUUAGAGAGUUAAAUCUAAUCUAAAGUGGAAUUUGUAUGAAAAUAUAAGAUUGAUUGUGAAGAAAUAAAAUUAGUCUCGGUUUAGGGACUAAAUUGGAAUUUAGGCAAAUAUUGAGUAAAAAUUGAAAUAUUAAAUAUGAGAUUGAAUUGUAUUGUAUUGAUGAAUUUUAAUUGUUUUAAAUCCGUAGCUAACGUCAUAUCGAAAUCCUCGACUAAAAAGGGAAAAGAUAAAGUCGACGAGGAAUAGCUCGGAAUUUCUAGUUUGUAUUUAUAUAAUUCGAAUCUAAUUAUUAAUUGUUGUAUUUUGAUUAAAUGUUAUGGUAAGUGAUUAAGGUGAGAAUUAUUGUGUUUUACAAUUGAAAUGGAUUGAUUUAGCAUGUAAUGAAUUUAUUGAAUUUAUAUUGAUUGAAUUGGUAUAUAUAUAUAUAUAUUGAGUAUAUUGAUUAUUUGAAUUGAAAUUUAUAUUGGUUGUAUUUGGAAAGUGAAUUGAAAUCCUAUUAAUUGUAUCGGACUAAGUCGGACAUAGAUGGCAUGCCAUAGGAUUGGAAGAGUUCAGGAAUUUCUUCGACUUCGAGUCGAUGAGACACUGGGUGUCAAUUUAUUACUUCGGAUUAAUUCGAUGAGGCACUGGGUGCCAAUUUACUUCGGUUUAACCGAUAAGACACUGGGUGUCAAUUUAUUACUUCAAAUUAUCUAAUGAGGCACACGGGCAUGUGAUUGGACUGUGUGAGACACAUGGCCUGACCACACGGGCGUGUGAACCCUACAGCUUUGAAAAAUUUUAAUAUUUUAUGAAAAAAAUUUUAAGUUUCCGAAUUAGUCCUGAUUUGUUUCUAACUCGUAUUUUGGGCCUCGAGGGUUCAAAUAAGGGACAUUAUGUAUGAAUUUAAUUGAUUUUUGACCUGAAUAUUAUGUGAUAUCAGUGUAUAAAUUUAUGUCUGUUUGAUCGAUAAAUUUCAGUAAUAUUCCGAAACCUUAUUUCAAUGACGGAUGUGGGUUAGAAGUGUUACAGUUUGAUGGUGUUAUGGUGUCUAAAGCAGUGGCAGAUAUUAAGUAAAAGCAAGAUACUAAAGCUAGUAAAACAGAGCAACUAAUAGUUUUUCCCAUAAUCUCUUCCCAGAACUUUGGAAUUAUUUGGAAUCUUUAAGGGAUUACCUUAAAUGAACUCAACCCAAUUUAUUUUNNNNNNNNNNNNNNNNNNNNNNNNNNNNNNNNNNNNNNNNNNNNNNNNNNNNNNNNNNNNNNNNNNNNNNNNNNNNNNNNNNNNNNNNNNNNNNNNNNNNCUCAAAUCCAAAGUAAAUUUACAAUUACACUUACACAUGAAAACUCAAUCUAAUUAACACACAUCUAAAUUCAAGUCUUAUCCCAACUUAAUUUGAACAUAAAUAAUCAAUAAGUUGAAACUCCUCCAACUCAAACCGAAACCGAAAAUGACUUCAAUCCAAAGUGUUUCAAACUUUAAAUAACUCAAACUCGCAUACUAACCCAUAAUGUUUUGAACCCAACCUAAACAACUUGACUAGUAAAUCCGAGUAUCUCAAUCCCAAAAUAACUUUAACUUAAAACUAACCCAAAUUAAAAACUAUCUCAAACCCUAAUCCAAAAUUACUCAAAAACUUUAUUAUUUGAUCCAAAUUGAUUCUAUGCAAACCCAACUCAGAUCGAAACAUACUUUAAUGGACUACUCCUGAACGUUAUCACUUUACUUUUGGUUACCGAAUUCUGUCCCUAAACUUUUGUUUUUAUUGUUAGUUGCUUGACUUUAAUUUUGAAUUCGAAAAUGAAAUUUUAUAAUAAAAUCUUUGGAACAUUAAGAAAAAGCUAUAAAGAAGGAUUAGACUUUGUACCAACACCAAUAUCAAAAUGCAGCAUUAAUAUAUAAACAGUCUUCUCUUUAAUAAAAUGAGAGGGGGGUGGAAGGAUUACAAACAAUAAAUUCGCAGGAUCAAAACAAAAGCUUCAAGGUCACCAUUAUGAGAGCUAAACUGACCAUUUUAGCUCAGCAGGCAAAACUAUGAUACUCAUACUUCCCUCCUGUAAAGCUACAACCAACAACAUCGAUCUGCAUUGCCUAUUAAUCGGUGUCUUCCACAUUGCACGGUGACGACUAUUCCGAGAGAGACAUCCAUCCCGCCUUUGGGAAAUAAUACUCAAGAUACGGGAUAUCUGUAUUGAACCCUGUACAUGCUAACCAACUAACAUCCCCAUACCACAAAUUUCACAACAGAGCAUCAAAAUAAGCUCCAAUCUAUAUGGUAAGGACCCAAGGAAAGAAAAAAUUUCUAGCAAGUUUCUAUCAUGAUACACAUAGGCCCACUUCAAUGUUUUUUCAUAAUAAUAAAAAAGGCAUAAAAACACAAGUAAUAAAACUAAAAUCUCAAAGGAAAUUGACCUUUACUUUAAAAAGUAUCUUUGGAACUUCACCUGAACCAUUGUCUGUGCUCCAUUAUAGACAUAUCAUGUAAAACGGUAUGGCUAAUUGAAUUCCUUUCAGCACAUGGCAUUCACUUGCGCCAUUGUGUACUUCACAAAGUCGCCUUCUUGGACACGUUUGGAUUUUAACUUCUCCUAGGUACUGCUUAUCUAUCAUGACUGCCCUACAAGCAUAGGCCGUUGAGAGAGAUCCAAAAGCUGCUUUUUCUGCUGGUCAUUAAGGUGGGGUAAACAUGCAUGUAAGAGAUCAACCGGCAUUUCUCUUUUAAUAGCUUUGGCUGAAUCUGAUUCAUCAAUUGCCAUAUUUGGUUUGGCCUGCAUUCGCAAGGACUGCAUCACAGUGUCGUAUUUGUUUAUGCAAUACUUGGUAAGAAGGUUAAAGAAUUCAUCAAACGAGGCCUUCCAAAGGGACAGAUUAGUCGUAUUAUAAUUGCCCGCAGCACUAGAAUCAGUCAUGAGCUUUGUUGCCCUAUCAAGAACAGACUUAAGAAUAAAAGAUGUGUUGGAACAUUGGCAGCAGCAAAAGAAGAGAACAGAGAGAACAGAACAAUGAAACUAGAUACAAGAAAAAUUUUACUUGCUCACAAAUGUGCAGCAAGGGAGCAUAUGGCUGAUAGCUCAUUCAACUCAUUCAUUCAACUAGAAAAACAAUAUAUUUAUAGUCAAAUACAUCACCAAAUACUACCUACUACCACUAAUCAUACUUUGAAACAAGUAAAACUUAACUUGCACACAAGCUGAUUAUGUCAAUCAGCACCUAAAAACAUCAAAACAAUACCAACUUAGUUCAUUUUCAACUUAGUAGCUUAACAAAGUAACUAAACAACCUUGUUAUUACAGUANNNNNNNNNNNNNNNNNNNNNNNNNNNNNNNNNNNNNNNNNNNNNNNNNNNNNNNNNNNNNNNNNNNNNNNNNNNNNNNNNNNNNNNNNNNNNNNNNNNNNNNNNNNNNNNNNNNNNNNNNNNNNNNNNNNNNNNNNNNNNNNNNNNNNNNNNNNNNNNNNNNNNNNNNNNNNNNNNNNNNNNNNNNNNNNNNNNNNNNNNNNNNNNNNNNNNNNNNNNNNNNNNNNNNNNNNNNNNNNNNNNNNNNNNNNNNNNNNNNNNNNNNNNNNNNNNNNNNNNNNNNNNNNNNNNNNNNNNNNNNNNNNNNNNNNNNNNNNNNNNNUUUGGAUGUAAACUGAGGCCAUCCAAAAUCACUCUUCAGUGCCCCACUAUCAAAGCCUCGUAGACUCUGCCUACCUUUCUGAGCUGAUUUGGCUCUUUGAUCUCUCAGAUCACCAAUACCAAGUAUAGCUUCAACCUUGUUCAUUACAGGUGGGGACGGAGAAAGAUGAGGAUUAAAUUGUUGUGACUGAAUCCCAGAAAAGUGGCUAAAUGAAGGCUGAACAGGAUGCUGCAGUCUCUGCUGGUGCGACUGCAGCUGUGGCAUUAACUGUGGUGGA